RNAcentral lists this non-coding RNA (373 nucleotides) under Pan troglodytes (chimpanzee). Lineage: Eukaryota; Metazoa; Chordata; Mammalia; Primates; Hominidae. The record is from RNAcentral.
AAAGAAAAAGAAGAAGAAAUAAAGAAAGUGUGCCAAGAGCUCAAAAGGACCAUACCUGUUGGACGGGAUUACAGGCCCUUGGACCCAUCCUCAUGAAAAAGAUCAGUGUACAAACAUUUGCCUCCUGGGCUCUGCAUGACUGUGCAUUUCAGUAGAAUCACCUGGAGGUCUGUUAACAGUGAUUUUUUAAAAAGCCCUUAAAUGAUGGUCAUCUUCUGUUCAGGUGGCUCCACACGCUGAGGUCCCACGUGCCUGAAGGUCUGGCCCCUCCGGUUACAUGGCUGUGCACCUCCUGGGGGCACUCGGGGCUGCGUUUGCUUUCUUCCUGAUAUUUUCUGUUAAAAACAAGAAUCUUACUUCCUCUGUUGCCUAA